Pezoporus flaviventris is the source of this 517-nucleotide long non-coding RNA. RefSeq lists it as uncharacterized. The record is from RefSeq and is a predicted model, not a curated record. The transcript has 3 exons. NCBI's taxonomy places the organism in Eukaryota, Metazoa, Chordata, Aves, Psittaciformes, Psittacidae.
CCAGCCACUGCCCUCCAGCACAGCUGCCAUGGCUGCUCCUCGCAAGCAUUACAACCAGCCCCAGCUGCGAGGCUUCCCGAUUUAAGUCUGGUAACUUAACCUUUUAUGCAUUCUUCAGGAGUACAGUAAUGUGUUGUGAUACUUCAGCAAGCCUGUGUCUUUCUCACUGCCUGUCCAACUCAAAGGGGAAAAGAAACUCAGAAUUUAUUCCUUUUCUGGAUUAACAGCAUAUCUUUAUCCCUUGUUGUGUCUUCAGGGACACUCCUCCAAGUGGCCCUACCUUCUAGCUGUCAUUUCUCAAAGAAGUUUGAUGGAGUUAAUGAAAGAUAAAGAUAAUUCAUGAAGAGCUACGUUUCUGGUCUUUCGGGUUCUAAUGAAGUUCAACCUUUGACAUGGAUCAGAAUAAUCAAGACAAUGAAGAAGAGUAAUCAGUAUAAGAGAGCACCAGAGUUUUGGACCAACUGUGCUAAAAACUAUACUUGAAGCACCAUCUUUGAUUUUUUUUUUUUCUUCUGAA